UGUAAGAUGUCGGAUAGAACGAGUAGUUUUGAUAGAACUGAGUAGGUAUGUUUUUUACUCUUACAU
Molecule: transfer RNA, 66 nt
Filed under: Rhopalaea idoneta
Lineage: Eukaryota; Metazoa; Chordata; Ascidiacea; Aplousobranchia; Diazonidae
Description: transfer RNA-Ile
Source: RNAcentral